AGCGAACGCUGGCGGCAGGCUUAACACAUGCAAGUCGAGCGGGCCUUUCGGGGUCAGCGGCGGACGGGUGAGUAACGCGUGGGAACGUGCCCUCUGGUUCGGAAUAACUCAGGGAAACUUGAGCUAAUACCGGAUACGCCCUUUUGGGGAAAGGCUUGCUGCCGGAGGAUCGGCCCGCGUCAGAUUAGCUAGUUGGUGAGGUAACGGCUCACCAAGGCGACGAUCAGUAGCUGGUCUGAGAGGAUGAUCAGCCACACUGGGACUGAGACACGGCCCAGACUCCUACGGGAGGCAGCAGUGGGGAAUAUUGGACAAUGGGCGCAAGCCUGAUCCAGCCAUGCCGCGUGAGUGAUGAAGGCCUUAGGGUUGUAAAGCUCUUUUAUCCGGGACGAUAAUGACGGUACCGGAGGAAUAAGCCCCGGCUAACUUCGUG
Molecule: ribosomal RNA, 433 nt
Filed under: uncultured bacterium
Lineage: Bacteria
Description: partial 16S ribosomal RNA
Rfam family: Bacterial small subunit ribosomal RNA
Source: RNAcentral